ACGGCGUAGUAAUGUGUAGGAACGUGCCCUCUGGACGGGGAUAGCUACGGGAAACUGUAGGUAAUACCCGAUGAUCUCUGCGGAGCAAAGGUGUGAUUCCGCCGGAGGAGCGGCUUACAUGAUAUUAGCUAGUUGGUGGGGUAAUGGCCCACCAAGGCGAUGAUGUCUAGGGGGUGUGAGAGCAUGGCCCCCACGACCGGAACUGAGAUACUGUCCGGACACCUACGGGUGGCUGCAGUCGAGAAUCUUCCGCAAUGGACGAAAGUCUGACGGAGCGAUGCCGCGUGCGGGAUGAAGGCCCUUGGGUUGUAAACCGCUGUCAGAGGGGAUGAAAUCUCCGGAGGUUCUCCUCCGGAGUUGACAGAGCCUCAGAGGAAGCACGGGCUAAGUAUGUGCCAGCAGCCGCGGUAAUACAUACUGUGCGAACGUUAUUCGGAAUCACUGGGCUUAAAGGGUGCGUAGGCGGCGAUUCAAGUCAGAUGUGAAAUGCCUGAGCUCAACUGAGGCAUUGCGUUUGAAACUGGAUUGCUGGAGUGUCCCAGGGGUGUGCGGAACUGCCAGU
This 562-nucleotide ribosomal RNA is filed under the name uncultured bacterium. Its description in RNAcentral is "bacterial SSU rRNA". It matches the Rfam family "Bacterial small subunit ribosomal RNA", at positions 102 to 674 of the family's 1533-position model. The record is from RNAcentral.